This is a long non-coding RNA of Clupea harengus (Atlantic herring), 2191 nucleotides long. RefSeq lists it as uncharacterized. The transcript has 7 exons. NCBI's taxonomy places the organism in Eukaryota, Metazoa, Chordata, Actinopteri, Clupeiformes, Clupeidae. The record is from RefSeq and is a predicted model, not a curated record.
GGAGGAACAGCCAUGAUAGACGCGGCGGCGCUUCCAUGUGGUGAAUUUCCAUGCUGCCGUUGUAUUUCGCGCUCUUAGAAUGUCCUUAUUAAGCUACCGAUUGAGUAUUGGGCACAAUUGUGGUGGGCUAGAUCAAAGUGCUAACUGGAUAGUGGUCUUGGACACUGAAAAGUUAAAUGGAGCAUUGGAAAGGUGUUUGUCACCUCUGAUCAUCAAAGAAGUCUGUUGACAUGCAAGGACCACGACAGGAUUGGAAACUACCCAUGAGAUGCAUGAAAAAUAUCAGAACAAUCAAAGACAAGACCAAACCAGAAGGACACUAAAUGGAUGAAAAUGAUUGGCAGGGAAGCUUAAUUCACCAGGCUGUCGGGGCUGUCUCCUGUUUCCUCUUAACCUUCCCCACUUAACAGAACACUUUGAAGAACGAAUAUUGGUGAAUUUGUUCCAACAAAGACAUUCCUCAGGAAAAACACAAUUUCUCCAAACCGCUACAGUAGAGGCCAAACCAUGAAAGAAGAUAGCCUCUCCACAAACAUGCAAUCUUCAGACUGAAGAGACUGUCUCAUGCCUGUCAUGGCAGGAGGAAAGAAACAGAAAACAGAUGAAGUGAUGAAAUGUCCAAGGUUGGGAUCAACACAGAGCCGCAAUGGGCAUAAACAACAGUUGCAAUAUAUCGAUUUUGUUGUUUUAUUGUCCGAUACUUUCUCUGGAUCAGAGCCACUGUAGGAAUAAAGACAGAAAGACAGGAGAGGAAGGAAAAGACAGUCAGUCAAACAAAGAAAGAAAGAAAGACUGAAAAAAGCGAGAGAGAGAGAGAAAGAAGUACGGGGUGGCUGCAAUGACACUCGGCACCAUAGAGCAGUGCUCCAUAAUUUGCCUGACAUUUUUCAUUGUGUGUAAUUGGCAUUCAUUCUCUAAACGGAGUGCACUGUGACAGCAAUGAUGGGGAAAUGUCAGGCCUCAGCAAGAACAGAGGUGAGCUGCCUCUGUUUGUCUGAAUGAUGAAAACACACACUCUCAUCCUUUCGUCAGUCGGGAGGGCGGUGCGCUGAUGACGACUCCCUGAAGCUUUCUUGAAGACUUCUUAAGCACUUUGGUACAAUUUCUAUUGUUAUUAAAUGUGCUAUAUAAAUAAAUGUGACUUGACUUGACUUCUGCGUAGGAGGAGAGAGACCUUUCGCAGCGUCUCCGUAAUAUUUGAAUCAUUGUUCUUGGCAGGAGAUCUUGCCCUAAUACACAUCUUUGAGCCAGUGUGCUUAUUUAAAGGUGACUGACACUUCAUCUGGCAAAUUUCUUGCUGCAAAGUUCUGAAUGCACUUCUGUGCUAGUGUGUUUUCUUUCUCCACAGAUGUUGGAUAAUUUAAUAAAUACUCAUCCAAGUCCGACCUGUUGGCAUUCAUUUUUUUUGUUCAAUUGCUUGCAACAACAACCAAUGGCUUGUAAAAGUGCUAUUGCUUUGUUAAAUGGUUGAAACCUUUGUCAUGUUACACUGACAACACACAGCUCUGAACAGGAGAAAAAAAGAAGACAAAAUCGGUUUUCUCUUCAAAGCAGGGAAAUGGAAGGAUGCCUAAAGCCUACAAGACAAAACAAAGAAGAAAAAGUUGAGUAAUUGAAGAAGAAAUCAUUAUGAACGAAUGAACCUCAACACACAGGGUUGGCUAAACAACCGCACAAGCCUCACACUAAAAGCCCAGCCUUUGCUCCAUUUGCAUUGAAAUGGGGGCAAAAGCUGAAUGAAAGAAGCAAAAAAAAAAAGAGUGAAACAAAGAGAAAACAAGACCGAAGAAGAAGGUCAUAAAGCACCAAGGUCUGCUGAGUGAUUGAAAAUGGGACUAAAGCAACAUGCUCUCGAAAGUCUCGGAUGAAAAGAUGGGGAGGGGGGAGAAAAAUCAAUGCGAUGCAAUUAAGCACAAAGCAAAGCUCCCCAGAGCUGAGCGGAAUUUGUUAUUUAUUAAAUCAUGUCCCCCAAACCUCUCCUCCUUUACCUUCCCCUUGUCCAACACACAUAGUGUAUUCCCUGCAACCUCCACUCAAGGUAAUCCAACUCAGGCAUUUGGACAGGGCAGCUAAACCUAUUGUUCAGGGGCCUGACAAGUGAAUUCAGGUCGGCUCCCACCUCUCCGUGAAAGCAUGGCCAUGGCAGUGAAUGGCAACAACACAGGGCGUUGAGGGGCCACACACGAGAGAG